AUGAACGCUGGCGGCGUGCCUAAUACAUGCAAGUAGAACGCUGAAGGAGGAGCUUGCUCUUCUGGAUGAGUUGCGAACGGGUGAGUAACGCGUAGGUAACCUGCCUGGUAGCGGGGGAUAACUAUUUGAAACGAUAGCUAAUACCGCAUGACAACAGUUAUUGCAUGAUAACUGUUUAAAAGGGGCAACUGCUCCACUACCAGAUGGACCUGCGUUGUCUUCGCUAGUUGGUGAGGUAACGGCUCACCAAGGCGACGAUACAUAGCCGGCCUGCGAGGGUGAUCGGCCACACUGGGACUGGGACACGGCCCAGACUCCUACGGGAGGCAGCAGUAGGGAAUCUUCGGCAAUGGACGGAAGUCUGACCGAGCAACGCCGCGUGAGUGAAGAAGGUUUUCGGAUCGUAAAGCUCUGUUGUAAGAGAAGAACGAGUGGGAGAGUGGAAAGUUCACACUGUGACGGUAUCUUACCAGAAAGGGACGGCUAACUACGUG
RNAcentral lists this ribosomal RNA (494 nucleotides) under uncultured bacterium. RNAcentral describes it as "partial 16S ribosomal RNA". It matches the Rfam family "Bacterial small subunit ribosomal RNA", at positions 29 to 507 of the family's 1533-position model. The record is from RNAcentral.